CCGGGUGUAGCGCAGUGGCAGUCGCGCCCUUAUUGCAUGAGGAGAGGACGCCGGUUCGAUUCCGGCCACCCGGG
Molecule: transfer RNA, 74 nt
Filed under: Glycomyces buryatensis
Lineage: Bacteria; Bacillati; Actinomycetota; Actinomycetes; Glycomycetales; Glycomycetaceae
Description: Glycomyces sp. 18 tRNA-Ala
Rfam family: tRNA
About the family: Transfer RNA (tRNA) molecules are approximately 80 nucleotides in length. Their secondary structure includes four short double-helical elements and three loops (D, anti-codon, and T loops).
Source: RNAcentral